GACUAAUCCUAACCCUUGGAUUAAUGUUUUCCAAUUCAAUCCUAGCCAUUAAUAUCUUUUAAGGAAUUAAAAGGAAAAAGAAAAAUAAAGAAAAAGAAGUUGUCUUCAUUCUUCAUUUUGGCCGUAUGGGUUUUUGGAGAAAGAACACUCCAUCUGUUUUGCUAUUUUUUUUCCUUCCAUUAUUCCACCAAAUUCUCACCUCUCUACACAAAUUCACCCACAAAAGCUUCUUUUACCAAGAUUGUUUACAUGAUUUGGUGGCUAUUUUGAAGAGAAAGAAGUUGAGAAAAGAAAAGAGAGCAAAGGAAAAGAGAAGUUGGAAGCUUAAAGAAAGAAGCGGAGAAAAGGAAUUGAAGCUAGUAUAGCUUAAUUUUGGUAGUAGAUAGGAGCAGUGAAGAUAAUAUUUCUGUAUUUGCGCAAGUCGGAGUCACAUACAUUGGCACAGGUGGA
Gossypium arboreum is the source of this 450-nucleotide long non-coding RNA. RefSeq lists it as uncharacterized. The record is from RefSeq and is a predicted model, not a curated record. NCBI's taxonomy places the organism in Eukaryota, Viridiplantae, Streptophyta, Magnoliopsida, Malvales, Malvaceae. The transcript has 2 exons.